Molecule: ribosomal RNA, 437 nt
Filed under: uncultured Ruminococcus sp.
Lineage: Bacteria; Bacillati; Bacillota; Clostridia; Eubacteriales; Oscillospiraceae
Description: bacterial SSU rRNA
Rfam family: Bacterial small subunit ribosomal RNA
Source: RNAcentral
ACGGGAGGCAGCAGUGGGGAAUAUUGGGCAAUGGGCGAAAGCCUGACCCAGCGACGCCGCGUGAGGGAAGAAGAUCUUCGGAUUGUAAACCUUAGUCAACAGGGAAGAAGCAAGUGACGGUACCUGUGGAGGAAGCCACGGCUAACUACGUGCCAGCAGCCGCGGUAAUACGUAGGUGGCGAGCGUUAUCCGGAUUUACUGGGUGUAAAGGGAGCGUAGGCGGGACUGCAAGUCAGAUGUGAAAUGCCGGGGCUUAACCCCGGAGCUGCAUUUGAAACUGUGGUUCUUGAGUGAAGUAGAGGCAAGCGGAAUUCCUGGUGUAGCGGUGAAAUGCGUAGAUAUCAGGAGGAACACCGGUGGCGAAGGCGGCUUGCUGGGCUUUUACUGACGCUGAGGCUCGAAAGCGUGGGUAGCAAACAGGAUUAGAUACCCUGGUA